GUAGGUGGCAAGCGUUGUCCGGAAUUAUUGGGCGUAAAGCGCGCGCAGGCGGUUCUUUAAGUCUGAUGUGAAAGCCCACGGCUCAACCGUGGAGGGUCAUUGGAAACUGGAGAACUUGAGUACAGAAGAGGAAAGCGGAAUUCCACGUGUAGCGGCGAAAUGCGUAGAGAUGUGGAGGAACACCAGUGGCGAAGGCGGCUUUCUGGUCUGUAACUGACGCUGAGGCGCGAAAGCGUGGGGAGCAAACAGGAUUAGAUACCCUGGUAGUCCACGCCGUAAACGAUGAGUGCUAAGUGUUAGGGGGGUUUUCCGCCCCCCUUAGUGCUGCAGCUAACGCAUUAAGCACUCCGCCUGGGAGUACGGCCGCAAGGCUG
This 374-nucleotide ribosomal RNA is filed under the name uncultured organism. RNAcentral's name for it is "partial 16S ribosomal RNA". It matches the Rfam family "Bacterial small subunit ribosomal RNA", at positions 527 to 896 of the family's 1533-position model. The record is from RNAcentral.